This is an RNA transcript of Cucurbita moschata (crookneck pumpkin), 1844 nucleotides long. It is a transcript of the gene named MADS-box transcription factor 27-like, with no coding region annotated. The transcript is spliced from 9 exons. Lineage: Eukaryota; Viridiplantae; Streptophyta; Magnoliopsida; Cucurbitales; Cucurbitaceae. The record is from RefSeq and is a predicted model, not a curated record.
GUGCGGCUGAAUUAUGUGAACCCGCUUCAGUACAACGCUCCGUAAAAAAGCGUUGAUUCUGUUGGAUUUGAUCUCUUUGCCUCGCCUCCAAACAGCACCGCACUCAACUGCGCAAGAAAGAAUCGAGUUUCGGAUCUAAGAAUGGGGAGAGGCAAGAUUGUAAUUAGGAGGAUCGAUAAUUCGACGAGCAGACAGGUGACUUUCUCGAAGCGAAGGAGUGGACUGCUGAAGAAGGCGAAAGAACUGGCGAUCCUUUGUGACGCCGAUGUUGGAGUCAUCAUCUUCUCCAGCACCAGCAAGCUUUAUGAAUACUCCAGCACCAGCAUGAAAACACUAAUAGAACGAUAUCACAAGACAAAAGAGGAGCACCAUCAGCUUGGGGUCUCGACUUCAGAAGUCAAGUACUGGCAAAGGGAAGCAGCAAUGUUACGGCAACAACUGCAGAGCUUACAAGAAAAUCAUCGGCAGAUGAUGGGUGAAGAGUUGACUGGUCUGAGUGUCAAAGAUCUACAGAAUCUAGAAAACCAACUGGAGAUAAGUCUCCGUGGUGUCCGUAUGAAGAAGGAUCAAAUCUUAAUGGAUGAGAUACAAGAACUAAACAGAAAGGGAAACCUAAUUCACCAAGGCAAUAUGGAACUUUAUAAGAAGGUAAACCUAAUUCGUCAAGAAAAUCUGGAAUUAUACCAAAAGGUCUAUGGAACAAAGGAUGCCAAGGGGGCAAGCAGUCUUACAAAUGGCCUGGGUGUGGGAGAGGAUGCAGGUAUACCUAUCAGCCUUCAACUCAGCCAACCACAACAACAAAACCUUGAGGCACCAGAAAAAGCAACAAAACUGGGGUACAAUUGCGACAAAAUGCAUAAAUGUUCAAUAAUGCGUACAAAUGAACUUUUCCAAAGUCACUAUUCCAAUCUUGUUCUUUUGAUGGUUGCAGCAGACUACAACGACGCUAGCAAAAAGAGACCUUACACCAACCAGGAAGAUGUUACUCAUUUUGCAUCAAGAAAACGGUGUGAGGCUGCAAAUUAUCUUUCAAUCAACGAAUUGUGGUAGGGUAAUGGACUAUUCCAUAACCAACGGAACUAGCUUUGUCUCGUUUGUGGUGAUUAAUACAAAGGAAUUUAUGUGAAGAGAAGGCUAUGUGGAACAAAAAAUAAUUGAAAUUGCAUCAGCAUACAAACUUCAUUUUCCAGAAAUCUUAAGAUUUGUUUUGUUCAAAGCCCUCCGUUUCCAAGUCAUCUUUUUGGGUAAGGAAAGAUAGAGAAGUUGUUAACUUAAAGUGGAAUUCUUUGCUGGUGGCUUCUCGAUUGAAUGUGCAUGAUGUUCGGAAAGAUAUUCAGAAGGCCAUAGAAGUUCACUUCAAAACCUUUGUUCUUCAUUAAUCCUUUUAUGGAUGAUAAAGUUUUACUUCAAUUGGAAGAUACAAAUUUUUUAGGUGAUCUUGGUCCAUUGGGUCAUUGGUAGCUGUUCUUUUUUGUUUUCAAACGUUGUCUUUGGUUUGGCUUUCAGUGCUGAGUUUGGUUUCUUUAAACUCUCUCUUCUAGUUCUUUUCUUUUCUUUUUUUUUUUUUUUUUUUUUUUUUGUUUUUGCUCAGCUCGCUUGGUGUUUCUUAUUGUAGAAGUUCCUUUCUAUAUCUUGUUCUUUCUUUUAUUCUCUGUAGUGGUUCUUUUUGUAUUCCUUCGUGUUUUAUUUUUAACUUCCUUGUGGAGUUUGUAUCCUUGAGCAUUAGUCUCUUUUCAUUUAUUCAAUAAAAAGUUACACAAUUGUAUAUGACAUUCAUCAUGGAAGGACGGAUAGUAUUUACCUCAUAUCUCCACUGCUCAACUACAGUAAACUAAUCCAGCAGU